This 711-nucleotide ribosomal RNA is filed under the name uncultured archaeon. Its description in RNAcentral is "bacterial SSU rRNA". It matches the Rfam family "Bacterial small subunit ribosomal RNA", at positions 158 to 846 of the family's 1533-position model. The record is from RNAcentral.
UUCGCCCUUUUCCGGUUGAUCCUGCCGGAUCGCAUGUUUUGGCAGGUAACUGGUCGGGAUCCUUCGGGACCGGCUGCUUUGGGAGGCGAUUGCGGCUUAUCAGCUUGUUGGUGAGGUAACGGCUCACCAAGGCUACGACGGGUAGCGGGCCUGAGAGGGUGGUCCGUCACACUGGGACUGAGACACUGCCCAGACUCCUACGGGAGGCUGCAGUCGAGAAUCUUCCGCAAUGGGCGAAAGCCUGACGGAGCGACGCCGCGUGUAGGACGAAGGCCCUAGGGUUGUAAACUACUGUCACGGAUUAUGAAUGGCGUAAUGUGAAUAGCAUUGCGUUUGACGUAAGUCCGAGAGGAAGCACCGGCUAACUCUGUGCCAGCAGCCGCGGUAAUACAGAGGGUGCAAACGUUGUUCGGAAUUACUGGGCAUAAAGGGCGCGUAGGCGGCGUGUUAAGUGUGAAGUGAAAUCCCACGGCUCACCCGUGGAACUGCUUUGCAUACUGGCAGGCUCGAGGACGGUAGGGGAGAGCGGAACUCUUGGAGGAGCGGUGAAAUGCGUAGAUAUCAAGGGGAACACCAAUGGCGAAGGCAGCUCUCUGGUCCGUUUCUGACGCUGAGGCGCGAAAGCUAGGGUAGCGAACGGGAUUAGAUACCCCGGUAGUCCUAGCCGUAAACGAUGAGCACUAGCUAGGGGCCUCCCUGUGGGGUCCCUGG